Poecilia latipinna (sailfin molly) is the source of this 532-nucleotide long non-coding RNA. RefSeq lists it as uncharacterized. NCBI's taxonomy places the organism in Eukaryota, Metazoa, Chordata, Actinopteri, Cyprinodontiformes, Poeciliidae. The record is from RefSeq and is a predicted model, not a curated record. The transcript is spliced from 2 exons.
AGUGCAGGCCUUGUCUCAGCUACGUGAGAAUCUAGAGAACUGUUUUAUUUUACCAAACAUCCUGCGAGAACCGGCAGUGGCAAGCAUAACCCUUUCUUCCUUUUGGUGAAGUUGGAAAGAGAAUGGAAAGAACGAGGUGGACGAACUCUUGAGAUUAUCAAUGACUGUCAGCGCGAAAGGAAACACAUGCUGUUUUCUGAGUCUGUUUUAACACGGGACCACUUACUGUCUGGAGAAUUUUCUCUUUGUUUGAUGGAUUCAAGGAGAACUGACGACAGAGUUUCCUCCGUUCUGCAGUUUUCAUCAGCAGGUCUCCCAAGUGAAGAUGCAGAAAACUCUCCUGAAGAGAAACCGCCUUCAGGACGACCACUCAUACCAAAACACUGAGUGUGAGAAUAAAAACAACUGCGAAGUCUGGCUUCACAUGACAGAAGUUAUCCACUGUUACUCUCACAGCAGCAAUUACCAUCCAUAUGAAGCUCAUAAAUAGCAUCCAGAUGUUGAAUUAAACCUUCCCACCCUUCCUUUUCAA